AUUUUACUNAUCCCAACUCAACCCCACUCCUCCUUACUCCCAGAAAUGAAUGUGACGUAGAGAAACUUAUUUGUACGUUUAUUCAGCCAACUGUCCUACCUUACUCAGACCUUAGUCAGGUUGAUAAAUGUGCAAAGUUUUUAGCGGAUUUUGUCUACUACACUUCAGAGAAGGCUGUGGAUGGUCCAGUAAAUUCUCCUCAUAGAGUGCUCCAAGAGCAAGCUGGGAAUAUGUUUAUAUAU
This is a long non-coding RNA of Eurytemora carolleeae, 242 nucleotides long. RefSeq lists it as uncharacterized. The transcript has 5 exons. The record is from RefSeq and is a predicted model, not a curated record. NCBI's taxonomy places the organism in Eukaryota, Metazoa, Arthropoda, Copepoda, Calanoida, Temoridae.